Bison bison bison is the source of this 117-nucleotide ribosomal RNA. Lineage: Eukaryota; Metazoa; Chordata; Mammalia; Artiodactyla; Bovidae. The record is from Ensembl.
GGUUAGUGCAUACUUUUCUUUAAGAGAACUCUAAUCUUGGAAGCUAAGCUAACAAGGGUCUGGCCCAGUUAGUACUUGGAUGGGAGACUGCCUGUAAAAAUAAGAUAGCUCUGAUCU